This 561-nucleotide ribosomal RNA is filed under the name Anaplasma phagocytophilum. RNAcentral's name for it is "bacterial SSU rRNA". It matches the Rfam family "Bacterial small subunit ribosomal RNA", at positions 886 to 1444 of the family's 1533-position model. Lineage: Bacteria; Pseudomonadati; Pseudomonadota; Alphaproteobacteria; Rickettsiales; Anaplasmataceae. The record is from RNAcentral.
UCGCAAGACUAAUACUCAAAGGAAUUGACGGGGACCCGCACAAGCGGUGGAGCAUGUGGUUUAAUUCGAUGCAACGCGAAAAACCUUACCACUCCUUGACAUGGAGAUUAGAUCCUUCUUAACGGAAGGGCGCAGUUCGGCUGGAUCUCGCACAGGUGCUGCAUGGCUGUCGUCAGCUCGUGUCGUGAGAUGUUGGGUUAAGUCCCGCAACGAGCGUAACCCUCAUCCUUAGUUGCCAGCGGGUUAAGCCGGGCACUUUAAGGAAACUGCCAGUGGUAAACUGGAGGAAGGUGGGGAUGAUGUCAAGUCAGCACGGCCCUUAUGGGGUGGGCUACACACGUGCUACAAUGGUGACUACAAUAGGUUGCAAUGUCGCAAGGCUGAGCUAAUCCGUAAAAGUCAUCUCAGUUCGGAUUGUCCUCUGCAACUCGAGGGCAUGAAGUCGGAAUCGCUAGUAAUCGUGGAUCAGCAUGCCACGGUGAAUACGUUCUCGGGUCUUGUACACACUGCCCGUCACGCCAUGGGAAUUGGCUUAACUCGAAGCUGGUGCGCUAACCGAAA